This is a long non-coding RNA of Mus spicilegus (steppe mouse), 499 nucleotides long. Lineage: Eukaryota; Metazoa; Chordata; Mammalia; Rodentia; Muridae. The record is from Ensembl.
AAAUUUUCAAGUAGGCUAACCUUAAUGAAAAAAAUGUAUUUAUUUUGUUUUGUUUUUCUUUAAAGUUCACUCAAUACAGCAUAAUCUCCAACAUCACUGAGGUGGCUGACCACGUCCAGGACCGAAGCUGCUUCUAAACUGGAACUCAUUUGCUGAGCCAGCCCCAGCCUCAGCUUUCUUGUCAACUCCAGGGGGCACAACACUCCUUCUGUAGGUGUCUCUGUCUGCCUCCCCUCUUGUAAAUCUUAAAGGCCAGUCACCCUCUGGAUCUUUGGCCGAAGCCUGCCAGAGUUCAGCCCAGACUGCAGGGUGGCAGGCAUGAUCUCCGCAGUUUCUGGAGGUAAUUCAGGUAUCAACAUCAUGGUGGCUGCAGGGUCCGAGGAGAAGGCUGGAAAGGAAGGGGCAUUCACCGAAAACAUGUACUUUUCUAGUAGUAUGAAUGUCAUGUGAGUAUGAAUGUCAGCAGUAGUGCUUAAGCUGGAAGAUCUUAAGUUAUUUA